This 492-nucleotide ribosomal RNA is filed under the name uncultured bacterium. RNAcentral's name for it is "partial 16S ribosomal RNA". It matches the Rfam family "Bacterial small subunit ribosomal RNA", at positions 29 to 507 of the family's 1533-position model. The record is from RNAcentral.
AGUGAACGCUGGCGGUAGGCCUAACACAUGCAAGUCGAACGGCAGCACAGUAAGAGCUUGCUCUUACGGGUGGCGAGUGGCGGACGGGUGAGGAAUACAUCGGAAUCUACUUUUUCGUGGGGGAUAACGUAGGGAAACUUACGCUAAUACCGCAUACGACCUACGGGUGAAAGCAGGGGAUCUUCGGACCUUGCGCGAUUGAAUGAGCCGAUGUCGGAUUAGCUAGUUGGCGGGGUAAAGGCCCACCAAGGCGACGAUCCGUAGCUGGUCUGAGAGGGUGAUCGGCCACACUGGAACUGAGACACGGUCCAGACUCCUACGGGAGGCAGCAGUGGGGAAUAUUGGGCAAUGGGCGCAAGCCUGAUCCAGCCAUGCCGCGUGGGUGAAGAAGGCCUUCGGGUUGUAAAGCCCUUUUGUUGGGGAAGAAAAGCAGCAGGUUAAUACCCCGCUAUUCUGACGGUACCCAAAGAAUAAGCACCGGCUAACUUCGUG